CCUACGGGAGGCAGCAGUGAGGAAUAUUGGUCAAUGGCCGGAAGGCUGAACCAGCCAUGCCGCGUGAAGGUCAGUGCCCUAUGGGCGUUAAACUUCUUUUGUGCGGGAGCAAUAAUGGUCACGUGUGGCCAGACGAGAGUACCGUACGAAUAAGCAUCGGCUCACUCCGUGCCAGCAGCCGCGGUAAUACGGGGGAUGCAAGCGUUAUCCGGAUUUAUUGGGUUUAAAGGGUGCGUAGGCUGUGAGGUAAGUCAGCGGUGAAAUGCCCCCGCUCAACGGGGUGAAGUGCCAUUGAUACUGCCUGGCUGGAAUGCGGAUGCCGUGGGAGGAAUGUGUGGUGUAGCGGUGAAAUGCAUAGAUAUCACACAGAACACCGAUUGCGAAGGCAUCUCACGAAUCCGCGAUUGACGCUGAUGCACGAAAGCGUGGGUAUCAAACAGGAUUAGAUACCCUGGUAGUC
RNAcentral lists this ribosomal RNA (460 nucleotides) under uncultured bacterium. Its description in RNAcentral is "partial 16S ribosomal RNA". It matches the Rfam family "Bacterial small subunit ribosomal RNA", at positions 338 to 795 of the family's 1533-position model. The record is from RNAcentral.